AUACGUUUCCGGAACUUCGGUUUCGGAAAGAAAGCAAUACCGUGGGUAUUGCGCUCCUGGAUGGGCUCAUGUCCUAUCAGCUUGUUGGUGAGGUAACGGCUCACCAAGGCUUCGACGGGUAGCUGGUCUGAGAGGACGAUCAGCCACACUGGCACUGCGACACGGGCCAGACUCCUACGGGAGGCAGCAGUAAGGAAUAUUGCGCAAUGGACGAAAGUCUGACGCAGCGACGCCGCGUGGGGGAUGAAGGUCUUCGGAUUGUAAACCCCUUUCGGGAGGGAAGAUGGAGUGGGUAACCACUUGGACGGUACCUCCAGAAGCAGCCACGGCUAACUUCGUG
This 340-nucleotide ribosomal RNA is filed under the name uncultured bacterium. RNAcentral describes it as "bacterial SSU rRNA". It matches the Rfam family "Bacterial small subunit ribosomal RNA", at positions 173 to 507 of the family's 1533-position model. The record is from RNAcentral.